GAGUUUGAUCGUGGCUCAGGAUGAACGCUAGCGACAGGCUUAACACAUGCAAGUCGAGGGGCAGCGGGGAGUCAAGCUUGCUUGACUCUGCCGGCGACCGGCGCACGGGUGAGUAACACGUAUGCAACCUGCCCAUGACAGGUGGAUAACCGGGAGAAAUUCCGACUAAUACAGCAUAACACCUCAAGGGGACAUCCCCUUGAGGUCAAAGGAGGCGACUCCGGUCAUGGAUGGGCAUGCGGCGCAUUAGGUAGUUGGUGAGGCAACGGCUCACCAAGCCGACGAUGCGUAGGGGUUCUGAGAGGAAGGUCCCCCACAUUGGAACUGAGACACGGUCCAAACUCCUACGGGAGGCAGCAGUGAGGAAUAUUGCACAAUGGGCGAAAGCCUGAUGCAGCGACGCCGCGUGAGCG
This 413-nucleotide ribosomal RNA is filed under the name uncultured bacterium. RNAcentral's name for it is "bacterial SSU rRNA". It matches the Rfam family "Bacterial small subunit ribosomal RNA", at positions 9 to 407 of the family's 1533-position model. The record is from RNAcentral.